UCUGGUGCGGCCAACCGACAUGGGGCUGUCUCUUCACUCUCCCUCCCGUCAUUUGAUUUGUCGGGGCUGGGAUGCUCGUGAUCGGUUGCCUGUGCGGCUCUUCCCUGUUGCGGGUAGCGAAGUUGUCCCUCGAUUGAUAUUUGCUUGCCUCUCUGACAUUUUUUUGUCGUUUUGGCAGCCGAAAUGAUGGCGAAAUCCCUGUGUAGGUGCGUGGUCGAAUGGCCCCGUUGCUGUAACUCGGAAUUUUGCCGGCUCUCACGGAUGCAGUGCCCAGUGCCGGCUCUGCGUGGCUUUGCCCCGCAGACUUCGGGAGGUCCCUUGUACGAAUCACUGCGAUCAGAUGCCGUUUGUCGUGCUGCUUGUUUGGCACGCAAAUCGUAUUGUUCUGUCCGGAGUCGGGAUGACAAAGUCAAAAUGAAGUGUCUGGGGCGUGCUCGCGUACACGGGGAAUGCCUCUCCGAUCGUACAAGCAGCGAUUUCCGGUGCGUGUCCUGCGAAGGCCCGCCCGUCCGGGCCGGUGCCGGAGCUG
This 529-nucleotide unclassified non-coding RNA is filed under the name Carex socialis. Its description in RNAcentral is "partial external transcribed spacer". Lineage: Eukaryota; Viridiplantae; Streptophyta; Magnoliopsida; Poales; Cyperaceae. The record is from RNAcentral.